Molecule: ribosomal RNA, 742 nt
Filed under: uncultured bacterium
Lineage: Bacteria
Description: bacterial SSU rRNA
Rfam family: Bacterial small subunit ribosomal RNA
Source: RNAcentral
AGCGGCGGACGGGUGAGUAACACGUGGGUAACCUGCCCAAGAGACUGGGAUAACACCUGGAAACAGAUGCCAACACCGGAUAACAACACUAGACGCAUGUCUAGAGUUUGAAAGAUGGUUCUGCUAUCACUCUUGGAUGGACCUGCGGUGCAUUAGCUAGUUGGUAAGGUAACGGCUUACCAAGGCAAUGAUGCAUAGCCGAGUUGAGAGACUGAUCGUCCACAUUGGGACUGAGACACGGCCCAAACUCCUACGGGAGGCAGCAGUAGGGAAUCUUCCACAAUGGACGAAAGUCUGAUGGAGCAACGCCGCGUGAGUGAAGAAGGGUUUCGGCUCGUAAAGCUCUGUUGGUAGUGAAGAAAGAUAGAGGUAGUAACUGGCCUUUAUUUGACGGUAAUUACUUAGAAAGUCACGGCUAACUACGUGCCAGCAGCCGCGGUAAUACGUAGGUGGCAAGCGUUGUCCGGAUUUAUUGGGCGUAAAGCGAGUGCAGGCGGUUCAAUAAGUCUGAUGUGAAAGCCUUCGGCUCAACCGGAGAAUUGCAUUAGAAACUGUUGAACUUGAGUGCAGAAGAGGAGAGUGGAACUCCAUGUGUAGCGGUGGAAUGCGUAGAUAUAUGGAAGAACACCAGUGGCGAAGGCGGCUCUCUGGUCUGCAACUGACGCUGAGGCUCGAAAGCAUGGGUAGCGAACAGGAUUAGAUACCCCGGUAGUCCUGGCCGUAAACGAUGGGUACUAGGUGU